This is a transfer RNA of Galdieria sulphuraria, 73 nucleotides long. It matches the Rfam family "tRNA". Rfam says of the family: Transfer RNA (tRNA) molecules are approximately 80 nucleotides in length. Lineage: Eukaryota; Rhodophyta; Bangiophyceae; Galdieriales; Galdieriaceae. The record is from Rfam.
GGGCGCAUAGCUCAGAUGGUAGAGUGCUCGCUUAGCAUGCGAGAGGUCACGGGAUCGAUACCCGUUGCGUCCA